RNAcentral lists this ribosomal RNA (518 nucleotides) under uncultured bacterium. RNAcentral's name for it is "partial 16S ribosomal RNA". The record is from RNAcentral.
GGAGUUAGCCGGUGCUUCUUCUGUGAGUGAUGUCCUUCCUGCCGGCUAUUAACCCGCAGGCCUUCUUCCUCACUGAAAGUGCUUUACAACCCGAAGGCCUUCUUCACACACGCGGCAUGGCUGGAUCAGGGUUGCCCCCAUUGUCCAAUAUUCCCCACUGCUGCCUCCCGUAGGAGUCUGGGCCGUGUCUCAGUCCCAGUGUGGCUGAUCAUCCUCUCAGACCAGCUACGGAUCGUCGCCUUGGUGAGCCGUUACCUCACCAACCAGCUAAUCCGACAUAGGCUCAUCCGAUAGCGCGAGGCCCGAAGGUCCCCCGCUUUCCCCCGUAGGGCGUAUGCGGUAUUAGCCUGGGUUUCCCCCAGGUUAUCCCCCACUACCGGGCAGAUUCCUAUGCAUUACUCACCCGUCCGCCGCUCGCCACCAGGGAGCAAGCUCCCCGUGCUGCCGCUCGACUUGCAUGUGUUAGGUCGUCGCCGCCACGCGUUCUACUACUGAGCCGACGGAGUACAACUACUCGA